CACGGGGGGAGCAAGCGUUGUUCGGAAUUACUGGGCGUAAAGGGCGUGUAGGCGGAUGGAUAAGUCAGAUGUGAAAACCCAAAGCUCAACUCUGGGCCUGCAUUUGAUACUGUUCAUCUUGAGUAUGGGAGAGGAGAUCGGAAUUCCUGGUGUAGCGGUGAAAUGCGUAGAUAUCAGGAAGAACACCGGUGGCGAAGGCGGAUCUCUGGCCUAAUACUGACGCUGAGGCGCGAAAGCUGGGGGAG
This 245-nucleotide ribosomal RNA is filed under the name uncultured bacterium. RNAcentral's name for it is "partial 16S ribosomal RNA". It matches the Rfam family "Bacterial small subunit ribosomal RNA", at positions 524 to 768 of the family's 1533-position model. The record is from RNAcentral.